GUUGAGAGAGAGGUUGUUGUCCUGGCACCAUGUAGCCAGGUUCUUUACCUCCUCUCUGUAAUAAUAAAAAUUAUAAUAAUGCACUUUAUACAGCGCUUUUCACAAAGACGCUUUACAAAAUUAACAUGAUAACAGAUCAAAGGAGAGUGUUGAGUCCAGAAUGAUCCCAAGGUUAUGUGCGUGGGAGGAUGGAGAAACAAUGGUGUCCCAAGGUUAUGUGCGUGGGAGGAUGGAGAAACAAUGGUGUCCCAAGGUUAUGUGCGUGGGAGUAUGGAGAAACAAUGGUGUCCCAAGGUUAUGUGCGUGGGAGAAUGGAGAAACAAUGGUGUCCCAAGGUUAUGUGCGUGGGAGGAUGGAGAAACAAUGGUGUCCCAAGGUUAUGUGCGUGGGAGGAUGGAGAAACAAUGGUGUCCCAAGGUUAUGUGCGUGGGAGGAUGGAGAAACAAUGGUGUCAUCGACGCUGCAAGCAGUCUCGUUGUCGGAGAUGAGACCCAGGAUAGUAGUGUCAUCAGUGAAUUUGAGGAUGAUGUUGGAGCUGUGUGUGGCCACACAAUCAUGUGUGAACAGGGUGUACUGGAGGGGACUGAGUACACAGCCCUGGGGGGCUCCAGUGCUAUGGGUCAGUGUAAAGGAGGUGAGCUUGCCCAUUCUCACCACCUGGGGUCUGCCCAUCAGUUUAAGUCCCAGGGUCCUGAGCUUAGGAACAAGCUUAGCGGGCACAAUAGUGUUGAAUGCAGAGCUGUAGUCAACAAACAGCGUCCUCACGUAUGUGUUGUCUUUUUCCAGGUGGGAGAUGGUGGUGGCAUUGUCUGUAGGUGGUGGCAUUGUCUGUAGAUCUAUUGGGGUGGUAUUCAAAUUAAAAGGGGUCUAAGAUGACAGGAAGGGUGGAGCAGAUGUGAGUUCUGACCAGACACAUCAUGAUGGUGGAGGUCAGUGCUACAAGGCGGUAGUCGUUCAGGCAGGUGAUGGAAGGUUUCUUCGGUACAGUGUCGUCUGUUUGAUGUAGGAGGGGACUACAGACAGGGACCGGUAGAGGUUGAAUAUGGAGGUGAAAACCUCCGCUAGUUGGUCAGCGCACCCCCUGAAGACCCCCAGCGCACCCCCUAAAGGACACGGCCUGGAAUGUCAUCUGGUCCUGGUGACUUCCAAGGGUGAAUUUUUUUUAAACUCUCCUGAUGUCACCGUGGUUUGGGACAGAGUGUAGUCGUCCUGGUCCUCAGCAAGCCUCACUGAAGGAAUUGUGUUGGUCGCCUCAAACCCUGCAUAGAAGGUGUUGAGCUCAUCAGGGAAUAGGGCGGUGGGAGGAGCAUCAUUGGUAUUUCUCCCUUUGGGUUCUGUGAUGUGUCACAGUCCUCCCCACUGGGAUCAGAGCCAGGCCCGGCUGCAGGAUCCAAUGACUGAGGGGGCAUUUUUCAUAAAUGAGGUGGCAUGUCUAAUUCAUAUACCAUUUGCAGUGUUUAUGGGGAACAAUACUGAGGGGACACAGAAUCUAUCUGGAGGGGCAGUGCCCCCUUAUGUCUCCACAUGGUGCCGGGCCUGGUCAGAGCUAUGGUAGUUUGACUUCAACUUAUCCCUGUAUUCUCUCUUUCCAUCCCUGAUAGCCUUCUGUAGGUCAUAUAUGGAUCUCCUCAAAGGCUCCAAGUCCCCAGAGCUAUAGGCGGAGGACCGUGGUCUGAGCUGAACAAAGGAAUUGCAGCAAUCGCUCCGGUGACUAGUGUAAAAGUCUGUGUUCAAAAAAGAAACAAAUAUCCAAAAGUGCUUUUCGGUCAUACUGUAUGAGCAACAGUGCAGCAUGCACAAAAAGAAACAAUUAAACAAGAAAAACAAUAAUAAGCAAAGAACUACGUAGUGAAUGCGGAGCCAUUGUCAGUACCUUCCUCUAUUGCGCACUAGAAGAAUCGGAAGCCUAGAAAGCCAGCCUCCCAAAG
Long non-coding RNA from Esox lucius (northern pike), 1928 nucleotides. NCBI's taxonomy places the organism in Eukaryota, Metazoa, Chordata, Actinopteri, Esociformes, Esocidae. The record is from Ensembl.